GAGAAGUCCUGAAACGUGUCAAGAAGGAGCACCUUGAAAGAGCAUAUAAAAUAAAAGAAUGGGAUGAUGAAAAUGACUUCCUGGUUCAGCUUUGCAAAUUAACAGGCAAACUUUUGAAGGGUGGUGAACCUGACUUGAUGACUGCAGCAAAGAUGGUCCUUCAUGACUGGCAGAGAGGUAGAAUAGCUUUCUUUGUCCCACCUCCACAGCAAGAAGAAAGCAACUUAGAGGAACCUAGUACAUAUGGUAUAGAUAAGGAAGCUAUGGAAAAUAAUAAUCAAGCAUCUGCAGCUUUUAGAGCCAUUGCGAAUGUCAUUUCAUCUCAGCAACAAAAAAGUGUCCCUGUCCAAAAGGAUCUUUUUAGCGAGAAUGAUUUGAUAGCUGAUCGGCUUCCAACCGCUGAGGGCGAGUUGCAUGUGCAAGCAUUAGGCAUGGAGGAUGAGAUAGCUAACAAGCUUCCGGAUAGAGAGGGCAAAAUAGACGAGAAUGUCGGAGCAACUGAAUCAUAGCUGGCAGGAUUUUUCUUUAUAUUUAUUUUUUUUAUAUAGAUUAAUUUUGGGAUAUUUGGUAGAUUAAGUCAGGCCUGUUUAUAGCUUAAGAGGGUAAAAUAGAUGAAAGUGCAUCUGGCUUCCGGGGGC
This 638-nucleotide unclassified non-coding RNA is filed under the name Hevea brasiliensis (rubber tree). Lineage: Eukaryota; Viridiplantae; Streptophyta; Magnoliopsida; Malpighiales; Euphorbiaceae. The record is from RNAcentral.